UACGCAGGCGGAUAUAUAAGUCAAAUGUGAAAGGCACCGGCUCAACCGGUGAGCGGCAUUUGAAACUGUAUAUCUUGAGUUCAGGAGAGGAGAGCGGAAUUCCUGGUGUAGCGGUGGAAUGCGUAGAUAUCAGGAAGAACACCAGUGGCGAAGGCGGCUCUCUGGCCUGAAACUGACGCUCAGGUACGAAAGCUGGGGGAGCGAACGGGAUUAGAUACCCCGGUAGUCCCAGCCGUAAACGAUGGACACUAGGUGUUGGGGGUUCGAAUCCUUCAGUGCCGAAGCAAACGCAUUAAGUGUCCCGCCUGGGGAGUACGGUCGCAAGACUGAA
Molecule: ribosomal RNA, 331 nt
Filed under: uncultured Halanaerobiales bacterium
Lineage: Bacteria; Bacillati; Bacillota; Clostridia; Halanaerobiales
Description: bacterial SSU rRNA
Rfam family: Bacterial small subunit ribosomal RNA
Source: RNAcentral